UGGGGAAUAUUGCACAAUGGGCGAAAGCCUGAUGCAGCAACGCCGCGUGAGGGAAGACGGUUUUCGGAUUGUAAACCUCUGUUUUCGGUGACGAACAAAUGACGGUAACCGAGUAGGAAGCCACGGCUAACUACGUGCCAGCAGCCGCGGUAAUACGUAGGGGGCAAGCGUUGUCCGGAAUUACUGGGCGUAAAGGGCGCGUAGGCGGCAUAUUAAGUUAGGUGUGAAAUUCCCGGGCUUAACCCGGGCGUUGCACUUAAAACUGAUAAGCUUGAGUGCAGGAGAGGAAAGUGGAAUUCCUAGUGUAGCGGUGAAAUGCGUAGAUAUUAGGAGGAACGUCAGUGGCGAAGGCGACUUUCUGGACUGUAACUGACGCUGAGGCGCGAAAGCGUGGGUAGCAAACAGGAUUAGAUACCCUGGUAGU
This 424-nucleotide ribosomal RNA is filed under the name uncultured Clostridium sp. Its description in RNAcentral is "bacterial SSU rRNA". It matches the Rfam family "Bacterial small subunit ribosomal RNA", at positions 355 to 794 of the family's 1533-position model. Lineage: Bacteria; Bacillati; Bacillota; Clostridia; Eubacteriales; Clostridiaceae. The record is from RNAcentral.